GAUUUCUGACGAACCGGAGUGGCCCGUUUCCUUUUCGGGGAUGAGUGCCGCUUUGAGUUUGUCAUCCUUCCAGAGAGUUGCGUCUACCGUUUACUCGGCCGGACGUAUGCGAUCUGGAUCUAUUACUUUGAAAAAAUUAGAGUGUUUAAAGCAGGCUUAUGCUGUGAAUACAUUAGCAUGGAAUAAUAAUUUAGGACUUUGGUUCUAUUUUGUUGGUUUCUAGGACCGAAGUAAUGAUUGAUAGGGAUAGUUGGGGGUGCUAGUAUUCCACGGCCAGAGGUGAAAUUCUUGGAUUCGCUGAAGACUAACUUAUGCGAAAGCAUU
This 324-nucleotide ribosomal RNA is filed under the name Euglypha sp. (in: cercozoans). RNAcentral describes it as "SSU rRNA". The stretch from base 109 to 324 matches the Rfam family "Eukaryotic small subunit ribosomal RNA", at positions 738 to 955 of the family's 1831-position model. The record is from RNAcentral. Lineage: Eukaryota; Cercozoa; Imbricatea; Euglyphida; Euglyphidae.